Molecule: ribosomal RNA, 460 nt
Filed under: uncultured bacterium
Lineage: Bacteria
Description: partial 16S ribosomal RNA
Rfam family: Bacterial small subunit ribosomal RNA
Source: RNAcentral
CCUACGGGAGGCAGCAGUGAGGAAUAUUGGUCAAUGGACGAGAGGCUGAACCAGCCAAGUCGCGUGAAGGAUGACGGCCCUAUGGGUUGUAAACUUCUUUUAUAAAGGAAUAAAAGGAGCCACGUGUGCCUUUUUGCGUGUACUUUAUGAAUAAGCAUCGGCUAACUCCGUGCCAGCAGCCGCGGUAAUACGGAGGAUCCGGGCGUUAUCCGGAUUUAUUGGGUUUAAAGGGAGCGUAGGUGGGAUGUUAAGUCAGUUGUUAAAGUUUGGGGCUCAACCCUAAAAUUGCAGUUGAUACUGGCGGUCUUGAGUACGGUUGAGGUAGGCGGAAUUCGUGGUGUAGCGGUGAAAUGCUUAGAUAUCACGAAGAACCCCGAUUGCGAAGGCAGCAUACUGGCCCCUGACUGACGCUGAAGCACGAAAGUGUGGGUAUCGAACAGGAUUAGAUACCCGGGUAGUC